Non-coding RNA from Podarcis lilfordi (Lilford's wall lizard), 73 nucleotides. Lineage: Eukaryota; Metazoa; Chordata; Lepidosauria; Squamata; Lacertidae. The record is from the annotation of a GenBank genome assembly.
GCUGAGAUAGCUCAGUCAGUAGAGCAUGAAACUCUUAAUCUCAGGGUUGUGGGUUCGAGUCCUGUGUUGGGCA